GGUGUAGGUGGCUUUGUAAGUCAGAUGUGAAAGCCCAGGGCUCAACCCUGGAAGUGCAUUUGAUACUGCUGAGCUUGAGUGCUGGAGAGGCUAUUAGAAUUCCUGGUGUAGUGGUGAAAUACGUAGAUAUCAGGAGGAAUACCGGAGGCGAAGGCGGAUAGCUGGCCAGACACUGACACUCAGACCCGAAAGCGUGGGGAUCAAACA
Molecule: ribosomal RNA, 207 nt
Filed under: uncultured delta proteobacterium
Lineage: Bacteria; Deltaproteobacteria
Description: partial 16S ribosomal RNA
Rfam family: Bacterial small subunit ribosomal RNA
Source: RNAcentral